RNAcentral lists this transfer RNA (58 nucleotides) under Dehalococcoidia bacterium. RNAcentral describes it as "tRNA-Arg". It matches the Rfam family "tRNA", at positions 8 to 61 of the family's 71-position model. From Rfam's summary of the family: Transfer RNA (tRNA) molecules are approximately 80 nucleotides in length. Their secondary structure includes four short double-helical elements and three loops (D, anti-codon, and T loops). Lineage: Bacteria; Bacillati; Chloroflexota; Dehalococcoidia. The record is from RNAcentral.
UAGCUCAGUCCGGAUAGAGCGCAGCCCUGCGGAGGCUGAGGUCGUGGGUUCGAGUCCC